GGCCUAAAUUUGAAGUAGAGUAAAUUAGAAGUAUCAGCUGACCCUACUGAUCCACUCUAAUUCGAGUUUGUGCCC
Molecule: microRNA precursor, 75 nt
Filed under: Haemonchus placei
Lineage: Eukaryota; Metazoa; Nematoda; Chromadorea; Rhabditida; Trichostrongylidae
Description: mir-5928 microRNA precursor family
Rfam family: mir-5928 microRNA precursor family
Source: Rfam by way of RNAcentral